UACGGAGGGGGCUAACGUUGUUCGGAAUCACUGGGCGAAUAGCGCACGUAGGCGGGUCAGCAAGUCAGGGGUGAAAUCCCGGGGCUCAACCUCGGAACUGCCUUUGAAACUGCUGGCCUGGAGGUCGAGAGAGGUGAGUGGAAUUCCUAGUGUAGAGGUGAAAUUCGUAGAUAUUAGGAAGAACACCAGUGGCGAAGGCGGCUCACUGGCUCGAUUCUGACGCUGAGGUGCGAAAGCGUGGGGAGCAAACAGG
Molecule: ribosomal RNA, 253 nt
Filed under: uncultured bacterium
Lineage: Bacteria
Description: partial 16S ribosomal RNA
Rfam family: Bacterial small subunit ribosomal RNA
Source: RNAcentral